CUCCAUUCUCUUCUCAAUAUUAUUCUAUAUCUCAUCUCCAUUCUUCACCCACUCUUUUCAUAAUAAAUUCAAAUGCUUGAUCCAACAUCAAGUACCUUUUUCAAGAUCAUUUUCAUAACAAAUUGAAAUACCAAAUGGGAUGUACGUGUUUGUACACAACAUUCAAGUAAUUGGAUUUUCGGUCGUACCUAGCCUGAGGACCCGACACUUGAC
This 213-nucleotide long non-coding RNA is filed under the name Lathyrus oleraceus (garden pea). RNAcentral describes it as "Pisum sativum (pea) long non-coding RNA (PSAT_LNC026671)". Lineage: Eukaryota; Viridiplantae; Streptophyta; Magnoliopsida; Fabales; Fabaceae. The record is from RNAcentral.